Small nucleolar RNA from Myotis lucifugus (little brown bat), 124 nucleotides. The record is from Ensembl. Lineage: Eukaryota; Metazoa; Chordata; Mammalia; Chiroptera; Vespertilionidae.
UGUCCUAUCUCUUUUUUAUUUUUUAAAUGUAUCUUUCUUAUGGGAUAGAGUAACAUUGCCAUGAUCUGAAGGAGGAGGAUUUGUUUGUGUCCUCCUUCUAUAUGAAAUUGCUAAACAACAACAA